UACGAGUGCCUCAAGCGUUAUCCGGAAUUACUGGGCGUAAAGGGUGUGUAGGUGGUCAUGUUAGUCUUUUGUCAAAUUCUUCGGCUUAACCGGGGGCUCGCAAAAGAAACGGCAUGACUAGAGGAUGCGAGGGGUCUGCGGAACUCAUGGUGUAGCGGUGAAAUGCGUUGAUAUCAUGGGGAACACCGAAAGCGAAGGCAGCAGACUGGAGCACUCCUGACACUGAAACACGAAAGCGUGGGUCGCGAAUGGGAUUAGAUACCCCAGUAGU
This 271-nucleotide ribosomal RNA is filed under the name uncultured bacterium. RNAcentral describes it as "partial 16S ribosomal RNA". It matches the Rfam family "Bacterial small subunit ribosomal RNA", at positions 524 to 794 of the family's 1533-position model. The record is from RNAcentral.